This 839-nucleotide long non-coding RNA is filed under the name Corvus moneduloides (New Caledonian crow). RNAcentral's name for it is "lncRNA (ENSCMUG00000006787.2)". The record is from RNAcentral. Lineage: Eukaryota; Metazoa; Chordata; Aves; Passeriformes; Corvidae.
CUUUGAUUCUGUUCAUUGGCGACUUUUCAACUAGAGGCUCUAGCAAUAAAUUUGGACAAAACAGAGACUGUUCAAUUUCAAAGCUACUCCAGUAAAAAAAUGCACCUCUGCUGGUGUUUUAUAUUAAAAUUUAUGCCAUCUCUCAUUCUAAUAGAUUUUCUCUGUGAUUUGUCCAUGAUAUCAUGAGUUCAAAAUGCUAUCUGUUCUCCUUGAUACUGCACUUUUUAGAAAAGCAAUCCCUUUUCUAGUUCUCUCCUUUGAAGUUGCUCAUAGCAUGAGAGGUCCAGCAUCAAGAGUACUUAGACUAAACCAUGCAGAAACCCCAGUGGAAGUCGGCAGGAACCUCAAUUAUUUUACUUCAGCCCAUGGGAUCCCACUUCAGUUGCAGCUGUUUGAAUUAACAUGUCUUCUUGCUGCGUCUCCUGGCUGAGGAAAGUGCAAGAAGUGCUGUCAUGGCCAGCAGAACAAACAGAUACCUGAUGUAUUACUUCAUCAGCAAAUUCAACAAGGCCAAGAUGUCUUCAUUUUCCUUCAGAGCAAGAGCUGUAAGAGCAGUGUGGUGGAAGUAUUGGUCUUCUGUGGCCAGCCGGCAAGAACCCAUCAACAGCUGUGAUGAGCAGAGCAGACAUGGGAGACAGGAGGCAGCUGAAGCCAAAGAGGACCCACGCCUGGAGCUGUGUCUGUAUGAUUGGAGCAGAGAGAGGCCAGGACCCAAGGAAAUCCCAGCAGCAAGGGAAAAAAACAGAUUGACUCUCAGUGACUCAUUUAGCUCCUGGAUUGGACAGAUCUCUCCCCUGCUGGCAAUUUGGCUGAGCAUCAAUGGCCAGAUACCAGGAUGA